GACUGUGGCUCAGUGGUAGAGUGCUUGCCUAGCAUGCUUGAGGCCCUGGGUUCAAUUCCCAGUACA
Molecule: transfer RNA, 66 nt
Filed under: Marmota monax (woodchuck)
Lineage: Eukaryota; Metazoa; Chordata; Mammalia; Rodentia; Sciuridae
Description: tRNA.Ala
Rfam family: tRNA
About the family: Transfer RNA (tRNA) molecules are approximately 80 nucleotides in length. Their secondary structure includes four short double-helical elements and three loops (D, anti-codon, and T loops).
Source: RNAcentral